Molecule: long non-coding RNA, 704 nt
Organism: Hylaeus volcanicus
Lineage: Eukaryota; Metazoa; Arthropoda; Insecta; Hymenoptera; Colletidae
Exons: 3
Source: RefSeq, a predicted model, not a curated record
AGUCACACGUUUCGUUUUCAUUUUAAAAAAUGUUUUAUUACGAAACUCAAGAAGAUUGUUAAAAGCACUACGCAGAAAUUAUGAAAUGUAUUUACCUUCAGCCAUAUGCAGAAUUUGUAAUGAGCUUUUUUUUUUCUUUCAACGUACAUACUGCAGUCGCGUUCGACGUAUAUUUUCCAAGUUCAUUUAAUGCCGCAACGACCUGAUGAAUCAUUGUUAACAAAGUUGACAGGGUCGGUAGAAGAUGUAACUGACUUCUAUCCUAGAUUCGGAUGUUGGGUAGUACCAUUCUUUCAAACUUUCUAAUGCGUAAGGCAAAGGGUUUUUAUAAGAACUGAUUAAGAGAGAUUACCUGAUGUUGAGGUGUACCUCCUUUCCAUGAAUGACUGCGAAAAUUGAAUGUACUGUAGGGUGUAUUUUUAUAAGAUAGUUUCCUUUGUUGAUCAGGUGAUCCAUUGUCAAAACAGGUAUCCACAAUACAUUUGGGUUGAGAUGUAUCUAAAAAAUGUACCACAGAAUCAAUUUUUUUAAUUAUCAAACGAAGAAAGAAUGUCCUUUUUGUUUGGUUAUUAUUUUUUAAAAAACAAGGUAGUUGUAUAUAUAAGAAUGUUUCAAUACAACAAACAACAAAGCUAAGAAAAUAUUGUUUUUUUAAUAAAUGAUAAAAAAAAAUGCUUUUAAAUGUGGAAUGGAAAAAAAGCCAU